RNAcentral lists this long non-coding RNA (774 nucleotides) under Cairina moschata (Muscovy duck). RNAcentral's name for it is "domestica (muscovy Duck (domestic type)) lncRNA (ENSCMMG00000000366.1)". Lineage: Eukaryota; Metazoa; Chordata; Aves; Anseriformes; Anatidae. The record is from RNAcentral.
AUGGGGAAAGACGCAGGAAUCCACCAGCCCACGGGACACACACGUAGCUGGGCAGAAGACCACGGAUUCGGCCACCUGAAGGAGCCCGGUGGGGAACCCGCACGUGGAGGCACGGGGAAAUCCCAGGUGCACACAGCACGGGGGCCGAGAUCGAGGGUCGCUUACGAAACCAGAGGACGAGCAAAUCCUCCUCAGACGUCCCAGUGCUGCCUGCCUUCCCCUAGCUCAUUUCACAGACCCAGGCAGCACAACCAGCCAGCUGCAUCCCUCCAAACACAAGCCAAGCUGCAGCAACAUACACACAAGGUUCAAGAUCAUUUCCCAGCGCCGGGGGAUUUUUAGGCUGGCAGCAAACUAUGCAGGGCCUGAGGCAUGCGUGUCCAUGGCUUCAAAUCCACAGAGCUGCAUUUUUUCCCCUCCAAAACAGGGUGCCUGCAUCCAGCUUCCUUCUGGGCAGGCACACCGGGUAUUGCUGAAAUUCGCCCCCCUCCUGGGACAGGGUUUUUUUUAGACCGAAAUAGGAAGCGCAAACCUCACCCUGAGCUUCCUCUAGGGUUUGGUUCUUCCUAGAAGUUUCUCCUUGCCGGAAAUUUCUUUUCUGCACCGUUGGCCCCGACCCAACCCAGUGCUCAAGCACUCGCUUAGCUUCAAACCCCUGCACCCACAUCGGGGCUUGCACGGGGACCUCAUCCCUUUGGUCACACCUGCCUGGUAGCUCGGCCCCAGGUCUGGCUGUACCAGAGCUCAGGAAACUCAAAUGCCUAUUGAUCAAGG